Molecule: long non-coding RNA, 558 nt
Filed under: Pan troglodytes (chimpanzee)
Lineage: Eukaryota; Metazoa; Chordata; Mammalia; Primates; Hominidae
Description: long non-coding RNA NONPTRT013265
Source: RNAcentral
UAUGGAUACUGAGGACACAAGCAAUACUUUCAAACUUUUGAUAGAAAAUGACUCUGUACCUAGAAUUUGUUACCCAGCAAAACUAUCAAUCCAGUACAGGGAAAAAAUAAAGACAUUUUCCAAUAUUUUCUUGUGGAAGGACACAUGACUGUGAUGACGGAAUCUCCAAGGGACUUCCCCUGCCAUCAUCAAGCCUAGAACCAUCCUUGAUGGAUGCUCUCUGAGUUGUGGAGUCACAGCUCCAUGGAACUGGAGUACAGUUUGGUGAGAGAAUUAUUGGGAGGGUUUUCUUCUUUAAAUAGUUUAAAUAAAGUUGUGGGAGUGCUUUCCUGGAGUUUGGGAGCAUGCGUGACUCCAGAGACCGGUGCUUAUUGGUCACCUCGAUAAUUUUAAAGACAAGGAGAGGCUGACUGAAGUUUCCUCUGGCAGCUGAGGGCAGCUAUGAGGGAAAGCCGCAUUUAGAGGACAGGGCAUCAAGGGCUAAAUGGAUGCCAGGCAGGUGGCAAGGCUCAAGUCUGCUUGAAAGAUCUUUGUCUUCCUGAGUGAGGAGGCCUUGGC